CAUUCUAGUCUUCCUUGCCUUGGAAUUGGAUAGGAAGGCUCUGUGGAUGGAGUCUUUCCUCAAAGGAACCAGAGCUGCACCCCUGAAGUACUCUGGCCUUAAGGACUGACAGGGCUACCCCUGCUCUGGCCUCCCUGGACAGAAUGCAGGGCACAUGUGCAUGUUAACCUUUGCAUUCAUUAGCAGCAGCUGCAGCUAGAGAUCAAUGAUAAGAAGAAAUUGUGUACAUUCGACCGCAUGGGCCUGCCCUCCCUACGAAUCAUGUGACUUCCUAUUAACGGCGUACAGUUUAUAUCUCCGAUGGGACUUCCUGCAAGGAUGGAAAUAUUCCACAUCUGUGCUAACACGGACACAAGUGGCUACUGAGCAAUUGAAAGGUGGCUGUUUCAACCGAGGAAUUCGAUUUUAGCACAUGACACAAACACCUAUUUGAAAAUUCGCCAGCACCAAGGUAUUAGCAUCUUCUACACGUGUUCUCAUGGAGCGGUGGGAUCCGUCCACUUUAUAGACACUAACACAGAGCUGAGGGGUGUGCAGUUUGAAGUACCAGAGACAUGAAGGACCAACAGACUCCAGCGAGUAUUUCCUUGCUCUUUCCUUAGGUAAAGGCUUUAGUUCAUGGCAGUCGUUGAGAUUAUAGUGAAGAGCUGGCAGGAAGUAGAGUAAAAACUCG
Long non-coding RNA from Tupaia belangeri chinensis (Chinese tree shrew), 673 nucleotides. RefSeq lists it as uncharacterized. Lineage: Eukaryota; Metazoa; Chordata; Mammalia; Scandentia; Tupaiidae. The record is from RefSeq and is a predicted model, not a curated record. The transcript is spliced from 4 exons.